This is a non-coding RNA of Phthorimaea operculella (potato tuberworm), 72 nucleotides long. NCBI's taxonomy places the organism in Eukaryota, Metazoa, Arthropoda, Insecta, Lepidoptera, Gelechiidae. The record is from the annotation of a GenBank genome assembly.
GCAUCGACAGCUCAGUGGCAGAGUGGUGGGACGGUACCCCACGCGUCCCGGGUUCGAUUCCCGGUCGAAGCU